Molecule: long non-coding RNA, 476 nt
Organism: Myxocyprinus asiaticus (Chinese sucker)
Lineage: Eukaryota; Metazoa; Chordata; Actinopteri; Cypriniformes; Catostomidae
Exons: 3
Source: RefSeq, a predicted model, not a curated record
ACCAAACACACAUAUGGAGAACUUGAUCAGCACAGUCUUCGCUGAGGAAUUUAUAUCUCAUCAGAAGGCACUGGAGUUGGAAAAGACUUCUGGUGAACUUGCUGAGAUUCUCUUCAUUCGUUACUUAAAGGAUCAACACAGUGUCCACACAAGUCGAACUACUGUGCUUCGUGCACUUCCUGUGCUGCUGAGAGGAGUCGCCUCAAGAUUCUUCAAAACAUGUGGGGGCUGAAGAUUCAGAAGAGCCAAAUGUUGGAUAUUCACCAGUUGCCCUGUUAACAGCAGUCAGAGAACUCACAGAUGCCGCAAUUCAUUACAAUCUGGUCAGAAAUUUCAUUGUUCUUGAAAGUGAAGUCAUCACCCACCUGCCCAGGCUUUUCAGAUUUCUUUUUACGUUUGGACUGAUUUAUGCAUUGGAUCUGAGUUACCCAAAAGAGUUUUAAAGACAGGUGGCUUUAUAAUGUUUUAACUUUGAA